Dama dama (fallow deer) is the source of this 1078-nucleotide RNA transcript. It is a transcript of the gene named nudix hydrolase 16 like 1, with no coding region annotated. The record is from RefSeq and is a predicted model, not a curated record. The transcript has 5 exons. NCBI's taxonomy places the organism in Eukaryota, Metazoa, Chordata, Mammalia, Artiodactyla, Cervidae.
ACCGCGGGCGCUGGUGCCAAGAUGUCGGCGACGGCGGUGCCGGAGCUGAAGCGGAUCAGUCGGGUGGAGGCGAUGCGCCUGGGCCCCGGCUGGAGCCACUCGUGCCACGCCAUGCUGUACGCCGCGAACCCGGGCCAGCUCUUCGGCCGCAUCCCCAUGCGCUUCUCGGUGCUGAUGCAGAUGCGCUUCGACGGGCUGCUGGGCUUCCCCGGUGGCUUCGUAGACCGGCGCUUCUGGUCGCUGGAGGACGGACUGAACCGGGUGCUGGGCCUGGGCCUGGGCUGCCUGCGCCUCACGGAGGCAGACUACUUGAGCUCGCACCUGACCGAGGGCCCGCACCGCGUCGUGGCGCACCUGUACGCGCGGCAGCUGACGCUGGAGCAGUUGCACGCCGUGGAGAUCAGCGCGGUGCACUCGCGGGACCACGGCCUGGAGGUACUGGGACUUGUCCGUGUCCCUCUAUACACCCAGAAAGACCGAGUUGGGGGCUUUCCCAACUUCCUGAGCAAUGCCUUUAUCAGCACAGCCAAGUACCAGCUCCUGUUCGCCCUCAAGGUGCUCAACAUGAUGCCGGAGGAGAAGCUGGCUGAGGCCCUGGCCGCUGCCACAGAGAAGCAGAAGAAGGCCCUGGAGAAGCUGCUUCCAUCUUCCUCCUGAGCACCCUCUGCGGGCGCCCCCAGGAGUCGGCCCGGCAGCACCAGCCGAGUGUGCGGUGACGGCAGUGGAGCCGCCCGGGCCAGGAGGGUCACCUCUGGCGGUCUCCUCGGUGCGGAAAGACUUCUCAGUGAAGCUGGCGGGUUCUGUGGCGCCGGCCUGGCUGCUUGUCCCUGUCGCCUGACGUCAGUGCUGAUGCUGGUCCAGCGUUUCUCCUCUCCAGGCUCAGGGAGGCUGAGAUAAGCAUGGAAACCAGGGGACGAGACAGGAACCUCCGUGGAGGGACGGACAGAUAGCCUGCUCCUCUCCCCAGCAUGAACCCUCGGCUGAGUAGUCUUCUAGGUCAUGUGGAGAAUCCCGCCGCCCCACCCUUCUCAACAGUACCAGCCCACACGAAGUACCAAUAAACACCUCAGCAAUCCAA